CCUACGGGUGGCAGCAGUGAGGAAUAUUGGUCAAUGGGCGGAAGCCUGAACCAGCCAAGUAGCGUGCAGGAUGACGGCCCUACGGGUUGUAAACUGCUUUUAUACGGGAAUAACGCGCCUUACGUGUAGGGCUUUGCAUGUACCGUAUGAAUAAGGACCGGCUAAUUCCGUGCCAGCAGCCGCGGUAAGACGGAGGGUCCGGGGGUUAUCCGGAGUUAUUGGGUGUAAAGGGAGCGUAGGCCGCAUUGCAAGAGGGCUGUGAAAUGGCCGGGCUCAACCCGGACCUUGAAGCGCGAACUGGCGUGCUUGAGUCCGCGGAAAGCAGGCGGAAUUCGUCGUGUAGCGGUGAAAUGCUUAGAUAUGACGAAGAACCCCGAUUGCGAAGGCAGCUUGCUGCAGCGGAACUGACGCUGAUGCUCGAAAGCGCGGGUAUCGAACAGGAUUAGAUACCCUAGUAGUC
Molecule: ribosomal RNA, 460 nt
Filed under: uncultured bacterium
Lineage: Bacteria
Description: partial 16S ribosomal RNA
Rfam family: Bacterial small subunit ribosomal RNA
Source: RNAcentral